ACAUUUUCUGCCAUGUUUUCCUUUACAUUUACACACACAUGCUUCAUCAUUUCAACAACAAAACACACACAAUUCCUACCCAUGUGUGUGUGUUUCCUUUGCCCAUGUGUGUGUGUUUUUCCUUUGCAUUUGCAGACACAUGUUCUUCAUUAUUUCAGCCAACAAUCCACCCAUUUUCUGCCCAUGUGUGUGUGUUUCCUUUGCCCAUGUGUUGCCUUUCUCUUUUUAUUAGCCAAAUCUGCUUAGCCCUUUUCUGACCUUUUAGUGUUACAAUGCCCAUAACUUCUUCUAGAAAAAUGAGAUUAACAAUCCGUAAAUUGCUCCAGAAAAUAGACAUCCGUAGCUUUCCACGCAUAUAAGGUUCAUUCUCUCAUUCAUUCUGAACUGUUUGUAACAUGCUUCCAAAGUCAGAUAAUCUGCACAGGCAGUUUUGACGAAUUUGUUACUUAAUAAUUCACUUGUGCUACUUUUCUUUUCUUUGCUUGAUAAAUCACACAAAACACAAAAACAUAGUAAAUAGCUCAAAAAUAUAAGGAACUAACUGAGAAAAGACAAGUGAAUUUUAUGUAAAUAUAUAUAAAUAUGAGCUUAUCACCUACCCCCACACUUAGCUUUUGCAAGUCCUCGAGCAAAAUAAAGAAAACAAAACACAACCUAAACCUUCCAACGUUUGCCUUAGGGAUUUCCAACGCACAUGACAUGUUAAAAAUCAUUAUCCCCACAAAUUUGAGUCAUCUUCACACUUAAGCACAUACUUAAUCAUAGUCACCACGUACUAGUUCACAUUUAACCAAUUAAAAUAUGAUUUUGAAUGUAGUAACCUUAGAGAAUUUUCUCAAGUCCUUACAAGAUAUUCACUCAAUUUUCACUCAGAUUUUCUAACUACACACCCUAUACUAGUUAUAUGUGAGAAGAUUGAUGUAAACAUGAAAACGAACGCUCACAUAUAUGUAUUACAAAGAAAGCGAUUUCUGGAGUUAUUAAGCAUGUUUAGAUAUGAUCUCAUGAAUGGAAUGCUACUACUUAGAUGCGAGAACCAGUGACACCAUAUGCUCAUACCAAAUUCAAACUCCACAAAUUGAAACACAUAACACUCAAGAUUGAAGUCAAAGGUUGUAACGGGGCUUGGGGUGUUGGCUAACAAAUGAAGGUAAGGGAAAACAAACGUUCUUAAAGCAAUAGCAAAUAAAGUAAUGAACUUGAAACUUAGAAUUCACUUAGAUUGCAGAAAUCAACUUUUAGACAUAAGGGAAAGAUUUAAACAACUCUUAGGGUCAAAUUCAACUUUUUUUUUUUUUUUUUCUUUGGAUGAAUUUUUCUUUUCUUUUCUUUCCACCCGUGCCUAUGGCACACUACUUACAUGAGAAACACUUCCCCCAUACUUAUUUUCUGCCAUACAUAAUCAAAAGGAAUUCAAUUUGAAUCAUGCUUUACUAUGCUUUCAGAACAAGGGUAUGAAUGUCCUAAUCUAGGCUAGGUGGAGAUGAUGUGAUUAACAAAGAAAAACGGGCUAAACAAGGUUCAACGGGGUUAACUUAAACAUAUAAUGAAGUAGGAUACACGGCAAUUUGGCUUUGGAGGUGGUAACUACACAACUUCAUCUUGAAUAUGUGUUAUGCAAAUCAAUAUCAUGCUUUGAAU
This 1641-nucleotide long non-coding RNA is filed under the name Malus domestica (apple). RNAcentral's name for it is "long non-coding RNA (MDOM_LNC020564)". Lineage: Eukaryota; Viridiplantae; Streptophyta; Magnoliopsida; Rosales; Rosaceae. The record is from RNAcentral.